GUAGGUGGCAAGCGUUGUCCGGAAUUAUUGGGCGUAAAGCGCGCGCAGGCGGUCCUUUAAGUCUGAUGUGAAAGCCCACGGCUCAACCGUGGAGGGUCAUUGGAAACUGGGGGACUUGAGUACAGAAGAGGAAAGCGGAAUUCCAAGUGUAGCGGUGAAAUGCGUUGAGAUUUGGAGGAACACCAGUGGCGAAGGCGGCUUUCUGGUCUGUAACUGACGCUGAGGCGCGAAAGCGUGGGGAGCAAACAGGAUUAGAUACCCUGGUAGUCCACGCCGUAAACGAUGAGUGCUAAGUGUUAGGGGGUUUCCCGCCCCCUUAGUGCUGCAGCUAACGCAUUAAGCACUCCGCCUGGGGAGUACGGCCGCAAGGCUG
RNAcentral lists this ribosomal RNA (373 nucleotides) under uncultured organism. Its description in RNAcentral is "partial 16S ribosomal RNA". It matches the Rfam family "Bacterial small subunit ribosomal RNA", at positions 527 to 896 of the family's 1533-position model. The record is from RNAcentral.